This 1447-nucleotide ribosomal RNA is filed under the name uncultured organism. RNAcentral describes it as "16S ribosomal RNA". It matches the Rfam family "Bacterial small subunit ribosomal RNA". The record is from RNAcentral.
CGCUAGCUACAGGCUUAACACAUGCAAGUCGAGGGGCAGCAUUUCAGUUUGCUUGCAAACUGGAGAUGGCGACCGGCGCACGGGUGAGUAACACGUAUCCAACCUGCCGAUAACUCGGGGAUAGCCUUUCGAAAGAAAGAUUAAUACCCGAUGGUAUAAUCAGACCGCAUGGUCUUGUUAUUAAAGAAUUUCGGUUAUCGAUGGGGAUGCGUUCCAUUAGGCAGUUGGUGAGGUAACGGCUCACCUAACCUUCGAUGGAUAGGGGUUCUGAGAGGAAGGUCCCCCACAUUGGAACUGAGACACGGUCCAAACUCCUACGGGAGGCAGCAGUGAGGAAUAUUGGUCAAUGGGCGCAGGCCUGAACCAGCCAAGUAGCGUGAAGGAUGACUGCCCUAUGGGUUGUAAACUUCUUUUAUAUGGGAAUAAAGUUUUCCACGUGUGGAAUUUUGUAUGUACCAUAUGAAUAAGGAUCGGCUAACUCCGUGCCAGCAGCCGCGGUAAUACGGAGGAUCCGAGCGUUAUCCGGAUUUAUUGGGUUUAAAGGGAGCGUAGGUGGACAGUUAAGUCAGUUGUGAAAGUUUGCGGCUCAACCGUAAAAUUGCAGUUGAUACUGGCUGUCUUGAGUACAGUAGAGGUGGGCGGAAUUCGUGGUGUAGCGGUGAAAUGCUUAAAUAUCACGAAGAACUCCGAUUGCGAAGGCAGCUCACUGGACUGCAACUGACACUGAUGCUCGAAAGUGUGGGUAUCAAACAGGAUUAGAUACCCUGGUAGUCCACACAGUAAACGAUGAAUACUCGCUGUUUGCGAUUAUACAGUAAGGCGGCCAAGCGAAAGCAUUAAGUAUUCCACCUGGGGAGUACGCCGGCAACGGUGAAACUUCAAAGGAAUUGACGGGGGCCCGCACAAGCGGAGGAACAUGUGGUUUAAUUCGAUGAUACGCGAGGAACCUUACCCGGGCUUAAAUUGCAUUUGAAUAUAUUGGAAACAGUAUAGCCGUAAGGCAAAUGUGAAGGUGCUGCAUGGUUGUCGUCAGCUCGUGCCGUGAGGUGUCGGCUUAAGUGCCAUAACGAGCGCAACCCUUAUCUUUAGUUACUAACAGGUCAUGCUGAGGACUCUAGAGAGACUGCCGUCGUAAGAUGUGAGGAAGGUGGGGAUGACGUCAAAUCAGCACGGCCCUUACGUCCGGGGCUACACACGUGUUACAAUGGGGGGUACAGAAGGCAGCUACCUGGUGACAGGAUGCUAAUCCCAAAAGCCUCUCUCAGUUCGGAUCGAAGUCUGCAACCCGACUUCGUGAAGCUGGAUUCGCUAGUAAUCGCGCAUCAGCCAUGGCGCGGUGAAUACGUUCCCGGGCCUUGUACACACCGCCCGUCAAGCCAUGAAAGCCGGGGGUACCUGAAGUACGUAACCGCAAGGAGCGUCCUAGGGUAAAACUGGUAAUAGGGGC